Molecule: ribosomal RNA, 254 nt
Filed under: uncultured bacterium
Lineage: Bacteria
Description: partial 16S ribosomal RNA
Rfam family: Bacterial small subunit ribosomal RNA
Source: RNAcentral
UACGGGGGGAGCAAGCGUUGUUCGGAUUUACUGGGCGUAAAGGGCGCGUAGGCGGCCAGCACAAGUCAGUUGUGAAAUCUCCGGGCUUAACCUGGGAACUGCGUUUGAAACUACGGAGCUAGAGUGCGGCAGAGGGGGGUGGAAUUCCACGUGUAGCAGUGAAAUGCGUAGAUAUGUGGAGGAACACCGAUGGCGAAGGCAGCCCCCUGGGCCGACACUGACGCUCAGGCACGAAAGCGUGGGGAGCAAACAGG